CGCCACGAUGGACACACAUUGUUCGAGGUCCAAACAGUUUGAGCGAUGCCGUGAGAACGGAACACUAAAAUCACCUUUCGACUGAGCG
This 88-nucleotide small nucleolar RNA is filed under the name Trypanosoma rangeli. RNAcentral's name for it is "small nucleolar RNA-cl2". Lineage: Eukaryota; Euglenozoa; Kinetoplastea; Trypanosomatida; Trypanosomatidae. The record is from RNAcentral.